RNA transcript from Sceloporus undulatus (fence lizard), 2060 nucleotides. It is a transcript of the gene named propionyl-CoA carboxylase subunit beta, with no coding region annotated. The record is from RefSeq and is a predicted model, not a curated record. The transcript is spliced from 16 exons. NCBI's taxonomy places the organism in Eukaryota, Metazoa, Chordata, Lepidosauria, Squamata, Phrynosomatidae.
GCUCUUGGAGACGAGGCUGGGCGAGGCCUGUGAGGCAGCGCCAGGAGGAGAGACUAGGCCUUGAGGCAGGCGCCUCCUCCUCCUCCUCAGAGCCAUGGCCGCCGUGCGGAUCCUUCCCUCCUGGCGCUGGGGGGCUCCCAUUCUGCCCAGGCUCUCCCGCCUGUUUUCCAGCUCCAGCAGCAGCCCCCGCCGAGGCCUCUCGGUCCCCGAGCGCAUCGAGGAGAAGCGUCGGGCUGCGCUGCUUGGCGGAGGCCAGGCCCGCAUAGAAGCGCAGCACCGGCGGGGAAAGCUUACAGCGAGGGAGCGUGUUCUUCUCUUACUGGAUCCUGACAGUUUUGUAGAAUAUGACAUGUUUGUGGAACACAGAUGUGCAGAUUUUGGGAUGGAGGCUGAGAAAAACAAGUACCCUGGAGAUAGUGUGGUAACUGGUCAGGGUAGAAUUAAUGGUAGACUGACAUAUGUCUUCAGUCAGGAUUUCACUGUCUUUGGGGGCAGUUUAUCUGGUGCACAUGCCCAAAAGAUCUGCAAGAUCAUGGAUCAGGCAGUGAUGGUUGGUGCUCCUGUGAUUGGAUUGAAUGAUUCAGGAGGAGCCCGAAUCCAAGAAGGAGUAGAGUCUCUGGCUGGUUAUGCUGAUAUUUUUUUGAGAAAUGUUUUAUGUUCUGGAGUAGUACCACAAAUUUCUCUUAUCAUGGGCCCUUGUGCAGGAGGUGCUGUCUACUCCCCUGCUUUAACAGAUUUCACAUUCAUGGUAAAGGACACAUCUUAUUUAUUCAUUACAGGUCCUGAUGUAGUCAAAUCAGUUACCAAUGAAGAUGUUACUCAGGAACAACUUGGUGGUGCAAAGACACACAGUGCAGUAUCAGGGGUUGCACACCGUGCUUUUGAGAAUGACGUAGAUGCUUUACUCAAUCUCAGAGAGUUUUUUAAUUACUUGCCUCUUAGUAAUAAAGAUCCAGCUCCUGUCAGAGAAUGCCAUGACCCUAGCAACCGCUUGGUACCUGAGUUGGAUACUAUUGUCCCAAUGGAAUCAACUAAAGCUUACGAUAUGGUGGAUAUUGUACAUGCGAUUGUCGAUGAGAGAGAAUUCUUCGAGAUUAUGCCUUCGUAUGCCAGAAACAUCAUAGUUGGGUUUGCUAGAAUGAAUGGAAGAACUGUUGGAAUAGUCGGCAACCAACCCAAAGUAGCAUCAGGUUGUUUGGACAUAAACUCUUCUGUGAAGGGAGCCCGUUUUGUCCGCUUCUGUGAUGCGUUCAAUAUCCCUCUGAUAACAUUUGUAGAUGUGCCUGGAUUUUUACCAGGGACAGCUCAGGAAUAUGGUGGUAUUAUACGUCAUGGUGCAAAACUGCUCUUUGCUUUUGCAGAAGCCACUGUGCCAAAAAUCACUAUUAUUACAAGAAAGGCUUAUGGUGGAGCAUAUGAUGUGAUGAGUUCAAAGCAUCUAAGAGGUGAUGCAAAUUAUGCAUGGCCAACAGCAGAGGUAGCAGUGAUGGGUGCCAAGGGAGCUGUUCAGAUAAUUUUCAGAGGAAAGGGGGCACAUACAGAGGCAGAAUAUGUGGAAAAGUUUGCAAACCCUUUCCCUGCGGCAACCCGAGGGUUUGUAGAUGACAUCAUCCAACCUUCUUCUACUCGACUUCGUAUUUGUCGCGAUUUAGAAGUGCUUGCCAGCAAAAAGCAAUCCAAUCCUUGGAAGAAGCAUGCCAACAUUCCCCUUUGAAAUUGGUUUAAUGGAAAGGGGAAAUAAAAUAUGGGGGAAAUCAGUGGACUCCAGAAUCUGACUUUUUGGCAGAGAUGCACACAUCUGACUUCUAACCUCUUUUGUAAGAGUAUUUCGCUCUCAAUGGUCAGAGAAGAUCUAGAAGCGUACCAUACUGCUAGUCACAUCCAGUGUGUUUAACAACACUUCUCCAGCCAGGAUGGCCUACUGAUAGCAUUGCUGCUGGUCAAUGGCUGACAGGCAUAAAUUUAAUAAAAAUGGCUAGCUUCUAAAACAUAAAAAGGCAAAUGUUAAAACAUUUUGAAGUUGUACAGCAGAAAAAUAAAGUUAAAAAGUUUUGUUUUCA